CCUACGGGUGGCAGCAGUCGGGAAUUUUGGGCAAUGGGGGCAACCCUGACCCAGCAACGCCGCGUGAGCGAUGAAGGCCUUCGGGUCGUAAAGCUCUGUCGGGAGGGAAGAAGGCUCUCGGGGUGAACAAUCACGGGGGAUUGACGGUACCUCCAAAGGAAGCGCCGGCUAACUCCGUGCCAGCAGCCGCGGUAAUACGGAGGGCGCAAGCGUUGUUGGGGGUCACUGAGCGUAGGUGUCGAGUAGGGGGGCCUAACCCCGGAACUGCACUCGAAACUGCCUCGCUCGAGUCUCGGAGAGGGUGGUGGAAUUCCCGGUGUAGUGGUGAAAUACGUAGAUAUCGGGAGGAACACCAGCGGCGAAGGCGGCCACCUGGACGAUGACUGACGCUGAGACGCGAAAGCGUGGGGAGCAAACAGGAUUAGAUACCCUAGUAGUC
Molecule: ribosomal RNA, 439 nt
Filed under: uncultured bacterium
Lineage: Bacteria
Description: partial 16S ribosomal RNA
Rfam family: Bacterial small subunit ribosomal RNA
Source: RNAcentral